GACGAACGCUGGCGGCGUGCCUAAUACAUGCAAGUUGAGCGCUGAAGGUUGGUACUUGUACCAACUGGAUGAGCAGCGAAUGGGUGAGUAACGCGUGGGGAAUCUGCGUUUGAGCGGGGGACAACAUUUGGAAACGAAUGCUAAUACCGCAUAAAAACUUUAAACACAAGAUUUAAGUUUGAAAGAUGCAAUUGCAUCACUCAAAGAUGAUCCCGCGUUGUAUUAGUUAGUUGGUGAGGAAAAGGCUCACCAAGGCGAUGAUACAUAGCCGACCUGAUAGGGUGAUCGGCCACAUUGGGACUGGUACACGGCCCAAACUCCUACGGGAGGCAGCAGUAGGGAAUCUUCGGCAAUGGACGAAAGUCUGACCGAGCAACGCCGCGUGAGUGAAGAAGGUUUUCGGAUCGUAAAACGCUGUUGGUAGAGAAGAACGUUGGUUAGAGUGGAAAGCUCAUCAAGUGACGGUAACUUCCCAGAAAGCGACGGCUAACUACGUG
RNAcentral lists this ribosomal RNA (497 nucleotides) under uncultured bacterium. RNAcentral describes it as "partial 16S ribosomal RNA". It matches the Rfam family "Bacterial small subunit ribosomal RNA", at positions 28 to 507 of the family's 1533-position model. The record is from RNAcentral.